GUCGAGGAUCUUCUGCAAUGGGCGCAAGCCUGACAGAGCGACGCCGCGUGAGGGAGGAAGGCCUUCGGGUUGUAAACCUCUGUUGUCGGUUAUGAAUGGCGAGGUGCAAACAGCGCUCUCGCUUGACAAAGGCCGAUGAGGAAGCCACGGCUAACUACGUGCCAGCAGCCGCGGUAAGACGUAGGUGGCAAGCGUUGUUCGGAAUCACUGGGCAUAAAGCGCACGUAGGCGGCUGGGUAAGUCAGGUGUGAAAGCCCUCGGCUCAACCGAGGAACUGCGCCUGAUACUGCCCGGCUUGAGGUCCGGAGGGGAGAGUGGAAUUCCCGGUGGAGCGGUGAAAUGCGUAGAGAUCGGGAAGAACGCCGGCGGCGAAAGCGACUCUCUGGUCGGAUCCUGACGCUGAGGUGCGAAAGCUAGGGGAGCAAACGGGAUUAGAUACCCCUGUAGUCC
RNAcentral lists this ribosomal RNA (450 nucleotides) under uncultured bacterium. Its description in RNAcentral is "bacterial SSU rRNA". It matches the Rfam family "Bacterial small subunit ribosomal RNA", at positions 354 to 796 of the family's 1533-position model. The record is from RNAcentral.